RNAcentral lists this ribosomal RNA (468 nucleotides) under uncultured bacterium. RNAcentral's name for it is "partial 16S ribosomal RNA". It matches the Rfam family "Bacterial small subunit ribosomal RNA", at positions 28 to 507 of the family's 1533-position model. The record is from RNAcentral.
GACGAACGCUGGCGGCGUGCUUAACACAUGCCAGUCGAACGGAAAGGCCCUGCUUUUGUGGGGUGCUCGAGUGGCGAACGGGUGAGUAACACGUGAGUAACCUGCCCUUGACUUUGGGAUAACUUCAGGAAACUGGGGCUAAUACCGGAUAGGAGCUCCUGCUGCAUGGUGGGGGUUGGAAAGUUUCGGCGGUUGGGGAUGGACUCGCGGCUUAUCAGCUUGUUGGUGGGGUGGUGGCUUACCAAGGCUUUGACGGGUAGCCGGCCUGAGAGGGUGACCGGCCACAUUGGGACUGAGAUACGGCCCAGACUCCUACGGGAGGCAGCAGUGGGGAAUAUUGCACAAUGGGCGGAAGCCUGAUGCAGCAACGCCGCGUGCGGGAUGACGGCCUUCGGGUUGUAAACCGCUUUCGCCUGUGACGAAGCGUGAGUGACGGUAAUGGGUAAAGAAGCACCGGCUAACUACGUG